CCCUUAGAUGUUCUGGGCUGCACGCGCGCUACACUGACACACCCAACGAGUCUCCUGCCCUGACAGGGUUGGGCAAUCAUUGGAGUGUGUGUCGUGAUGGGGAUAGAGUGUUGCAAUUAUUGCUCUUGAACGAGGAAUUCCUAGUAAGCACAAGUCAGCAGCUUGUGCUGAUUACGUCCCUGCCCUUUGUACACACCGCCCGUCGCUCCUACCGAGGGGGUGAUCCGGUGAAUGAUUCGGACUUUGGCGUUUCUAGCUGCUAGCAGCGCUGGAGAAAGUUUUGUGAACCUUAUCACUUGGAGGAAGGAGAAGUCGUAACA
Molecule: ribosomal RNA, 320 nt
Filed under: uncultured eukaryote
Lineage: Eukaryota
Description: partial 18S ribosomal RNA
Rfam family: Eukaryotic small subunit ribosomal RNA
Source: RNAcentral